CUGGAUCCUCUCCUUCCCUAACUCUCUCCUUCUCUCUCCUUCUCAAAAUCUGGACAGUUAGAUCAAUCCCAUGGUUUAAAAUUAAAACAGAAUAAAUUAAAAAAUAAGACAAUAUGCUUCUCAAUAUGCUUCUCAUAUCGUGAUUGUGUAUUCGACGACACCACCACCAACCCCAACUUGGACGAUUCUUAUUCACUGUAACUGGAAUGCAGCGGCGGAUACACGGUGUUCGGCGAUGCAACGGCAGUGUUCGACAAUGAAGAAAAAAUGCACAGGACAGGUUUGCGGCGGUAGUCGGCAAUGAGCGGCGGGUUGCCGGUCUCAGAGAUCGAUGUUGGACGGUAUUGUUGAGUUUGAGAAGUAUGACAAUUGAAGAUGAAGAUCUGGCUGCAAGAUCUGGUUUUUAUUACUGUUUUUAGUUUUUUCUUUAAAAACAAAACUUGUUACAGAUAGCAGUAAAACACAUUGCAAAUUAAUUUCACAAUGAGUAAUGAGAGAUUUUGUGAAUGAAUCCAGAGAUUGCAGCCACUAAAUUUGUUGUGGAAGAUUUUCAAAAAAAAAAAUUGCUGUGGAAGAUGAAGGGGAAAAAGGUUUGCUGUGAAAAGAUGCAGGGUAUUUUGUUUUGGAAGAAUCCUCUCAUCCAUUAGAUUGAUCUAACGGUUCAGAUUUGGAGAAGGAGAGAGAAGGAGGUAGUUAGGGAAGGAGACAAUCCGGAUCCCAUAGUAACUAACUAGACUGUUUCUUUUUUUUUUUUGUUCUAUAGAACAAGUGGUGAAUAGUGAAUACCACUAAAACUCACACUGAUUUGGUAAACAUCACCUAAACCAAGUAGAAAUGCAAAUUAAAAUUAAAAUCAUCAUGAAAUGAUACAGAACAAAUAAAUAAACAAAGCUGAAUGAAAAGAAGCAGUGACAGUCAAUCACUUGGUAAACGUUGCCAACAAUUCAUCCAAAACAGAAGCAUCAACAUCAGCAAACAAUUCAAAGGGUUCAUUUGAUUUGGAAGCAUCAGGGUUUUGUUGGCAUAAAGUUGGACAUGGCCAAAGCAUAACAUAGAAUUGAAUGGAAUUUUCUAGAAACUACCCUUCUCAGUUGGUAAACAACAUCAUGGCUUGUCCAUUGCCAGAAAUGCCCCUCCUAAAACUCAUUUAUUUUUUGCUCAAGACGAAGCUCAGAAUGUGAAGGAUAUACAUAUACUAGAUGAAUAUCAAAGGAUUUCGGGCCAGAAGAUCAACAGGGAUAAGUCUGAAAUGGUUUUUAGUCCAAAUACUCUAAGACAAUACAAGGGCCAGUAUACAACAUCACUGAUAGUAUCACCAAGUAUCUAGGACUGCCUACUCAAAUAGGCAGGUCUAAAAAUCAAGUUUUUCAAUUUUUAAUUUAUAGAAUAUGGGAAAAGCUUAAGGGUUGGAAGGAAAAUAAGUUAUCUUUUGCUGGCAGGGGUGUGCUCAUUAGAGCUGUAGCUCAGGCUAUUCCUACAUAUGUUAUGAGUUUCUUUCAAAUUCCUCAGAAUAUAUGGCACCAGUAGUAUAACUUGUCGGCUGUUGAUGACUGAUGCGAAAUGCUUUAUUUAUUUAUUUAUUUAUUUAUUUAUUUAUUUAUGUUUUUAAGCUUCUUUGGAAUCAGCUUAACACUCAACUACAUGUAGACUUCGCAAAGACAUCGUGGGGCAUAUGGCGCAAACAAAAUCUCCAACUUUGUUGGAAUGUGCUCAAAGUGUCCUCCAUUCAUGGCAGCAAGUUCACAACCAUCGUAGCAUGUGUAGAAGGAAUGAAGGAUGUAAUCUCUGAACAAAAUAUUGAAUUACUUGUUUUUUUAUUGUCAUGUUGGUGGUAGGUUAUGCGUGAGUGUAAUGUCUUUUUUUAAUCGAAUUUGUAUUUAAACUAGCAAAUAUUGGAAAUAGAACAUGAAAGAAUGAUUUGAUAGGGUGAAAGAGCAACAAUGAUUGGCAAUUUUGAAUCGAAUUGUAUAUGUUUUGUUUCACCCUCGGAUAUAUCACAUCAUAUUCAGAUGUAUUAUUCGGACCCAGAUUGCUUAGAGUCAUGCAGUUAGGGAACAAUCUGGCCGUCCGUUUAAGAUUUGACAGUUCAGAUAUAAAGAUUUAAUCAAACUAUAUAACUGUUUUAUAUCUAGACCCGCCUGAUUAAAAUUAGACUGUCAGAUUUUCCAUUUUGUCAAAAAAUCCAUGUUAUUCACUUUAGACACAAGUCUUUCAUGAUUUUGUCCUUUAUAAAAGACGUAUGUUAAAUUGAAGAUUGUAUAUUGCAUAUAAACUAUUCUUAAUCUUGACUAUUAAACAAUGUGAGACUUUAAAAUGUACAUUAUUGUAUGCAGUAUGUAUGUCCAUAAUGUUGGAAAAAGCUUGGUUUGGAAUUUUGGAUGCCAGUUGGUUGUUUUCUCAAUGAAAGGAAUGUAAAAGAAAGGGAUGUGGAAAAUAACUAAAUAAUUAGGACCAUUAUAUAUUUUAGGCAGGGAAUUCAACACCAUAACAGCACUAAACUACAAUAGCUAGUGCCAUAACCUACCUAAUAUUUGUUUUGGUGUUCUUAACCUCAUUCAAACUUUAUAAGAACUAACAGUAUGAUUAGAAACAGGCAAGAAUAUGAUGAUAAUCUUGUAGUGAAUAAAAUAUUUCGAUUAUCUAUUGAGAUUGAGAACAAUGAAAGGAACUAUUAUUACAAGUUACAACACAACAACUUGCCACAACAAUUCCAAGGCAUGCAGAUUAUUCAGUUUAAAUGCAUAAUAAUCACUUGUGAUAGUAAAAUGGAAGGUUGCAAAAAGCUUUCAACAACAAUAACACUCAUUCAACUCAACAAAGAUUCCACAUACAAGUUAUUACUUCACAGUGUAUCAUCUAAAUUCUUGAAAGUUAACAUGACCAGUUGCUUGAGCGUGCUCCGCUGCUUCCUGAAUAUAUUCACAGAAAAAUCAGUACUCAAGUCAAGAAUCAU
This 2953-nucleotide long non-coding RNA is filed under the name Trifolium pratense (red clover). Its description in RNAcentral is "long non-coding RNA (TPRA_LNC001792)". Lineage: Eukaryota; Viridiplantae; Streptophyta; Magnoliopsida; Fabales; Fabaceae. The record is from RNAcentral.